Molecule: long non-coding RNA, 204 nt
Filed under: Populus trichocarpa (black cottonwood)
Lineage: Eukaryota; Viridiplantae; Streptophyta; Magnoliopsida; Malpighiales; Salicaceae
Description: long non-coding RNA (PTRI_LNC003377)
Source: RNAcentral
ACGUGUAGAGAUUUUCUAUAUAAGUGAACCUCCAGCCAUAGACACUAGGAGGAGAAAACAAAUUCACAAGGGGAGCAGAGAAACAAACAAAAAUUAAGAGAAACACAAAAAAACCCUAACCAUAUCCUCUCUAACAAAGAAGCCGUAGCCCCCUGCUCAUCUUUUAAAAUAAAAAAACAAAGCAACCCCUCCCUUUGAAGAAAC